UGUCGGAAUUGUCUCGCAUAACCACUCAGGCUCAUAACCUGAAGGUCGCAGGUUCAAAUCCUGCUCCCGCAA
This 72-nucleotide transfer RNA is filed under the name Roseovarius pacificus. RNAcentral's name for it is "tRNA_Met_CAT". Lineage: Bacteria; Pseudomonadati; Pseudomonadota; Alphaproteobacteria; Rhodobacterales; Roseobacteraceae. The record is from RNAcentral.